UCAGUCGACUCCUACGGGGAGGCAGCAGUGAGGAAUUUUGCGCAAUGGGCGAAAGCCUGACGCAGCAACGCCGCAUGAGUGAUGAAGGCCUUCGGGUCGUAAAGCUCUGUCAAGUGGGAAGAACCUAUAUAAUGUUAAUAUCAUUAUAUACUGACGGUACCACUGAAGGAAGCACCGGCUAACUCCGUGCCAGCAGCCGCGGUAAUACGGGGGGUGCAAGCGUUAUUCGGAAUCAUUGGGCGUAAAGAGCACGUAGGCGGCCUGGUAAGUCAGAUGUGAAAGACCCGGGGCGUUAACCCCGGAAACGUGCAUUUGAUACUGUCAGGCUUGAGUAUGGGAGAGGGAAGUGGAAUUCCUGGUGUAGAGGUGAAAUUCGUAGAUAUCAGGAGGAACACCGGUGGCGAAGGCGACUUCCUGGACCAAUACUGACGCUGAGGUGCGAAGGCGUGGGUAGCAAACAGGAUUAGAUACCCUGGUAG
This 479-nucleotide ribosomal RNA is filed under the name uncultured bacterium. Its description in RNAcentral is "bacterial SSU rRNA". It matches the Rfam family "Bacterial small subunit ribosomal RNA", at positions 328 to 793 of the family's 1533-position model. The record is from RNAcentral.